RNAcentral lists this long non-coding RNA (240 nucleotides) under Capsicum annuum. RNAcentral describes it as "long non-coding RNA (CANN_LNC005271)". Lineage: Eukaryota; Viridiplantae; Streptophyta; Magnoliopsida; Solanales; Solanaceae. The record is from RNAcentral.
UAGAUAGGAAGAUCUGGAGGACGCGAAUUAGGGCAGAAGGCUAGGGCCAGUUUGGGUCGCUAGUGUAGGGAAUUACUUGGUGGGGGUAUUAUUCUUGUUAUGAUACCUUGUUUCAUGCUUUAUUACGAAUCUGUUUACUUUUCUCUGUUUUCUAUUACUUGUGGGUGUCGUAUUUAUGUUAUGCCAUCUUGUUCCAUGCUUUACUAUGUAUUUGUGUAGUAUUCUGUGUAUCGAGCCGGG